This 464-nucleotide ribosomal RNA is filed under the name uncultured bacterium. RNAcentral's name for it is "partial 16S ribosomal RNA". It matches the Rfam family "Bacterial small subunit ribosomal RNA", at positions 339 to 795 of the family's 1533-position model. The record is from RNAcentral.
CUACGGGUUGCUGCAGUGGGGAAUAUUGCACAAUGGGCGCUAGCCUGAUGCAGCCAUGCCGCGUGUAUGAAGAAGGCCUUCGGGUUGUAAAGUACUUUCAGCGGGGAGGAAGGGAGUAAAGUUAAUACCUUUGCUCAUUGACGUUACCCGCAGAAGAAGCACCGGCUAACUCCGUGCCAGCAGCCGCGGUAAUACGGAGGGUGCAAGCGUUAAUCGGAAUUACUGGGCGUAAAGCGCACGCAGGCGGUUUGUUAAGUCAGAUGUGAAAUCCCCGGGCUCAACCUGGGAACUGCAUCUGAUACUGGCAAGCUUGAGUCUCGGAGAGGGGGGUAGAAUUCCAGGUGUAGCGGUGAAAUGCGUAGAGAUCUGGAGGAAUACCGGUGGCGAAGGCGGCCCCCUGGACGAAGACUGACGCUCAGGUGCGAAAGCGUGGGGAGCAAACAGGAUUAGAUACCCGCGUAGUC